Molecule: long non-coding RNA, 508 nt
Filed under: Vigna radiata
Lineage: Eukaryota; Viridiplantae; Streptophyta; Magnoliopsida; Fabales; Fabaceae
Description: long non-coding RNA (VRAD_LNC006731)
Source: RNAcentral
CAAAAGAAAUUCACUAGACGCCGCUUUUUUAUGGGAGGCAGCUAGCAGAGGGAGAAUGUGUUACUACGUUACCCCAAGAAAGGAACAAACCUGCACUAAAACACAACACAAAGAAAGCAAAUUUUAAUGAGUUGAACCAGAAGAUAAUCGAUGAAAGACUAAACAAAGUUUAAACGGUAAGCAUAAAAAAAACCACGCACCUGGGAUGCCGCAAGAGAGAAAAAGAAGAAGAGGCAGAUGAUAAAGAAAUAAGAAACAACAACGGAAUGCCGCAAGAGAGAAAAAGAAGAGGUGCCGCAAGCGAGAAAAGGAAGAGGCCACAAGAGAAAAUGGAGAAGAGGAAGACGAUAUCAGAAACUGAAUGCCGCAAAGAGUUUGCAGUUAUAUUUAAAAUGAAAUUGGGUGUCGGUUGCUCCAGACACCGACGUCUAUAUUCACAUAGACGUCGGUUUUCUCACUAAUAUCACGUCCAAGUUAACAUUUCAACUGACCUUUUGAAUACCAUUAG